GGAAGAGAACGGAAGAGGAAAGAAAACGCAGACUUGAGCAGGAUCUGUUGGAAAAGAGGAAAAUACAGCGUGAAUUAGCAAAAAGAGCUGAGCAGAUUGAGGACAUAAACAAUACGGGAACCGAAUCUGCAUCAGAGGAAGGUGAUGACUCACUGCUUAUAACAGUGGUGCCUGCAAAAUCAUACAAAAAAUCUG
Peromyscus maniculatus bairdii (prairie deer mouse) is the source of this 195-nucleotide non-coding RNA. The record is from RefSeq and is a predicted model, not a curated record. Lineage: Eukaryota; Metazoa; Chordata; Mammalia; Rodentia; Cricetidae.